GGUAAAGGGGGGGCAGGUAAAGGAGGGAAGGUAAAGGUUAAAGGGAACAGGUAAAGGUAAAGGGGGGCAGGUAAAGGUUAAAGGGAUCAGGUAAAGGUAAUGGGGCAGGUAAACUCACUGUAUAUGGCUCCAUACACACAGCAGCCUGUCAGCAGGCACAGCAGGAAGAGGAAGCAACUGAGAACCACAGCAAACACACCCGCAGAGACACCGGCUAGUGCUGGGGGAGGAAGGACACGAUCACCAU
This is a long non-coding RNA of Anguilla rostrata (American eel), 247 nucleotides long. RefSeq lists it as uncharacterized. The record is from RefSeq and is a predicted model, not a curated record. Lineage: Eukaryota; Metazoa; Chordata; Actinopteri; Anguilliformes; Anguillidae. The transcript is spliced from 2 exons.